AGCGUACACGGUGGAUGCCCUGGCAGUCAGAGGCGAUGAAGGACGUGCUAAUCUGCGAUAAGCGUCGGUAAGGUGAUAUGAACCGUUAUAACCGGCGAUUUCCGAAUGGGGAAACCCAGUGUGUUUCGACACACUAUCAUUAACUGAAUCCAUAGGUUAAUGAGGCGAACCGGGGGAACUGAAACAUCUAAGUACCCCGAGGAAAAGAAAUCAACCGAGAUUCCCCCAGUAGCGGCGAGCGAACGGGGAGCAGCCCAGAGCCUGAAUCAGUGUGUGUGUUAGUGGAAGCGUCUGGAAAGGCGCGCGAUACAGGGUGACAGCCCCGUACACAAAAAUGCACAUGCUGUGAGCUCGAUGAGUAGGGCGGGACACGUGGUAUCCUGUCUGAAUAUGGGGGGACCAUCCUCCAAGGCUAAAUACUCCUGACUGACCGAUAGUGAACCAGUACCGUGAGGGAAAGGCGAAAAGAACCCCGGCGAGGGGAGUGAAAAAGAACCUGAAACCGUGUACGUACAAGCAGUGGGAGCACGCUUCGGCGUGUGACUGCGUACCUUUUGUAUAAUGGGUCAGCGACUUAUAUUCUGUAGCAAGGUUAACCGAAUAGGGGAGCCGAAGGGAAACCGAGUCUUAACUGGGCGUUAAGUUGCAGGGUAUAGACCCGAAACCCGGUGAUCUAGCCAUGGGCAGGUUGAAGGUUGGGUAACACUAACUGGAGGACCGAACCGACUAAUGUUGAAAAAUUAGCGGAUGACUUGUGGCUGGGGGUGAAAGGCCAAUCAAACCGGGAGAUAGCUGGUUCUCCCCGAAAGCUAUUUAGGUAGCGCCUCGUGAAUUCAUCUCCGGGGGUAGAGCACUGUUUCGGCAAGGGGGUCAUCCCGACUUACCAACCCGAUGCAAACUGCGAAUACCGGAGAAUGUUAUCACGGGAGACACACGGCGGGUGCUAACGUCCGUCGUGAAGAGGGAAACAACCCAGACCGCCAGCUAAGGUCCCAAAGUCAUGGUUAAGUGGGAAACGAUGUGGGAAGGCCCAGACAGCCAGGAUGUUGGCUUAGAAGCAGCCAUCAUUUAAAGAAAGCGUAAUAGCUCACUGGUCGAGUCGGCCUGCGCGGAAGAUGUAACGGGGCUAAACCAUGCACCGAAGCUGCGGCAGCGACGCUGAUGCGUUGUUGGGUAGGGGAGCGUUCUGUAAGCCUGCGAAGGUGUGCUGUGAGGCAUGCUGGAGGUAUCAGAAGUGCGAAUGCUGACAUAAGUAACGAUAAAGCGGGUGAAAAGCCCGCUCGCCGGAAGACCAAGGGUUCCUGUCCAACGUUAAUCGGGGCAGGGUGAGUCGACCCCUAAGGCGAGGCCGAAAGGCGUAGUCGAUGGGAAACAGGUUAAUAUUCCUGUACUUGGUGUUACUGCGAAGGGGGGACGGAGAAGGCUAUGUUGGCCGGGCGACGGUUGUCCCGGUUUAAGCGUGUAGGCUGGUUUUCCAGGCAAAUCCGGAAAAUCAAGGCUGAGGCGUGAUGACGAGGCACUACGGUGCUGAAGCAACAAAUGCCCUGCUUCCAGGAAAAGCCUCUAAGCAUCAGGUAACAUCAAAUCGUACCCCAAACCGACACAGGUGGUCAGGUAGAGAAUACCAAGGCGCUUGAGAGAACUCGGGUGAAGGAACUAGGCAAAAUGGUGCCGUAACUUCGGGAGAAGGCACGCUGAUAUGUAGGUGAGGUCCCUCGCGGAUGGAGCUGAAAUCAGUCGAAGAUACCAGCUGGCUGCAACUGUUUAUUAAAAACACAGCACUGUGCAAACACGAAAGUGGACGUAUACGGUGUGACGCCUGCCCGGUGCCGGAAGGUUAAUUGAUGGGGUCAGCGCAAGCGAAGCUCUUGAUCGAAGCCCCGGUAAACGGCGGCCGUAACUAUAACGGUCCUAAGGUAGCGAAAUUCCUUGUCGGGUAAGUUCCGACCUGCACGAAUGGCGUAAUGAUGGCCAGGCUGUCUCCACCCGAGACUCAGUGAAAUUGAACUCGCUGUGAAGAUGCAGUGUACCCGCGGCAAGACGGAAAGACCCCGUGAACCUUUACUAUAGCUUGACACUGAACAUUGAGCCUUGAUGUGUAGGAUAGGUGGGAGGCUUUGAAGUGUGGACGCCAGUCUGCAUGGAGCCGACCUUGAAAUACCACCCUUUAAUGUUUGAUGUUCUAACGUUGACCCGUAAUCCGGGUUGCGGACAGUGUCUGGUGGGUAGUUUGACUGGGGCGGUCUCCUCCUAAAGAGUAACGGAGGAGCACGAAGGUUGGCUAAUCCUGGUCGGACAUCAGGAGGUUAGUGCAAUGGCAUAAGCCAGCUUGACUGCGAGCGUGACGGCGCGAGCAGGUGCGAAAGCAGGUCAUAGUGAUCCGGUGGUUCUGAAUGGAAGGGCCAUCGCUCAACGGAUAAAAGGUACUCCGGGGAUAACAGGCUGAUACCGCCCAAGAGUUCAUAUCGACGGCGGUGUUUGGCACCUCGAUGUCGGCUCAUCACAUCCUGGGGCUGAAGUAGGUCCCAAGGGUAUGGCUGUUCGCCAUUUAAAGUGGUACGCGAGCUGGGUUUAGAACGUCGUGAGACAGUUCGGUCCCUAUCUGCCGUGGGCGCUGGAGAACUGAGGGGGGCUGCUCCUAGUACGAGAGGACCGGAGUGGACGCAUCACUGGUGUUCGGGUUGUCAUGCCAAUGGCACUGCCCGGUAGCUAAAUGCGGAAGAGAUAAGUGCUGAAAGCAUCUAAGCACGAAACUUGCCCCGAGAUGAGUUCU
RNAcentral lists this ribosomal RNA (2773 nucleotides) under Escherichia coli. RNAcentral describes it as "bacterial LSU rRNA". It matches the Rfam family "Bacterial large subunit ribosomal RNA". Lineage: Bacteria; Pseudomonadati; Pseudomonadota; Gammaproteobacteria; Enterobacterales; Enterobacteriaceae. The record is from RNAcentral.